AGACCGGACUCGUAAGUCCUGGACCCGGCUGCUUCUACGUAAGUAGAUGAUACUCCGUCUGGCCUUUGGCCCGCCUUCGGGCGUGAACGGUGAGAAUCGGCCCCCAGGGUGAGCCGGUUU
Molecule: non-coding RNA, 120 nt
Filed under: unclassified sequences
Description: DUF3800-III RNA
Rfam family: DUF3800-III RNA
Source: Rfam by way of RNAcentral